GCAAGGAUUUAGCCAAACCUCACAGUGCAC
This 30-nucleotide non-coding RNA is filed under the name Rattus norvegicus (Norway rat). The record is from RNAcentral. Lineage: Eukaryota; Metazoa; Chordata; Mammalia; Rodentia; Muridae.